Molecule: ribosomal RNA, 606 nt
Filed under: uncultured organism
Description: bacterial SSU rRNA
Rfam family: Bacterial small subunit ribosomal RNA
Source: RNAcentral
GGUAAAGCUUUUGCGGUUUGGGAUGGGCCUGCGUCCUAUCANGUAGUUGGUGAGGUAAAUGCUCACCAAGCCUAUGACGGGUAGCUGGUCUGAGAGGAUGGUCAGCCAGACUGGGACUGCGACACGGCCCAGACUCCUACGGGAGGCAGCAACUAGGAAUUGUGCGCAAUGGACGAAAGUCUGACGCCGCGACAUCGCGUGGAGGAUGAAGGUCUUCGGAUUGUAAACUCCUUUUCUUACCGAACAAGUUCUGAGUGUAGGUAAGGAAUAAGUGCCUGCUAACCACGUGCCAGAAGCAUCGGUAAUACGUGGGGCACGAGCGUUAUCCGGAUUUACUGGGCGUAAAGAGAAGCGUAGGCGGCUCAAUAAGUUUGGUGUUAAAUCUUCCGGCUCAACCGGAAACAAGCACCGAAAACUAUCGAGAUUGAGUCGAGUAGGGAAGAGGGGAAUUCCUGGUGGAGCGGUUAAAUGCGUAGAUCUCAGGAGGAAUACCAAUGGCGAAGGCACCUCUUUGGACUCGUACUGACGCUGAGGCUCGAAAGCGUGGGUAGCAAAACGGAUUAGAUACCCGUGUAGUCCACGCCGUAAACGAUCCCUGUUAGAUGU